This is a long non-coding RNA of Quercus lobata, 218 nucleotides long. RefSeq lists it as uncharacterized. Lineage: Eukaryota; Viridiplantae; Streptophyta; Magnoliopsida; Fagales; Fagaceae. The transcript is spliced from 3 exons. The record is from RefSeq and is a predicted model, not a curated record.
GUGGAACUUUUCUUCAAUCUGGAGUCUCUAAUUUUAUCAAAGCAAAGACUUUCAGUGGUGUUAUAUUGAUCCUGGAGUUUCCAGUGGGGAGGAGAUGAAACCACUGAAGAGAAUAUAUAGUGCACAAUUAUAAAGUAUUGUGUUCUCUAUUAGUGCUUCUUUUAGGAAGUGCAAGGAUACAAAGAGGAAAGCUUUAAGAGAAAUAGCUCAAACUCAAC